RNAcentral lists this ribosomal RNA (301 nucleotides) under uncultured bacterium. RNAcentral's name for it is "partial 16S ribosomal RNA". It matches the Rfam family "Bacterial small subunit ribosomal RNA", at positions 509 to 809 of the family's 1533-position model. The record is from RNAcentral.
CAGCCGCCGCGGUAAUACGUAGGGUGCGAGCGUUAAUCGGAAUUACUGGGCGUAAAGCGUGCGCAGGCGGUUAUAUAAGACAGUUGUGAAAUCCCCGGGCUCAACCUGGGAACUGCAUCUGUGACUGUAUAGCUAGAGUACGGUAGAGGGGGAUGGAAUUCCGCGUGUAGCAGUGAAAUGAGUAGAUAUGCGGAGGAACACCGAUGGCGAAGGCAAUCCCCUGGACCUGUACUGACGCUCAUGCACGAAAGCGUGGGGAGCAAACAGGAUUAGAUACCCCUGUAGUCCCUGUCUCUUAUAA